CCAUGGCUUCAAUCGCCGUCCUAGCCUCUGAUCGUGACGGAAAAUGGAGCAGAACGCGAUAAGACCGAGUAAGUCUCCCUUCUCCCAUUUUAUUCUUGUUACAAAAUAAAAUAAUAAAAAAAGAAUAGAAAAAAAUAAAAAAAAUAGACGCGAUUCACCUUCGAAAAAUUUCUUUUGUAUUCUCAAUAUUUCUCUCUCUCUAUUUUCGUAUUUCUUUUCACUGAAUCCCCCCUUUUUUUACAAUAUUUCAAUGGCUUUUAUAGCCGAAACAAAACAGAAAAAAUAGGUAUAAAAGGAAAUUAAUUCUUUCCUUCCAUUUUGCUAUUAGUCCAUUUCUUUUCGCUGCUUGUUUCCUUGUCUGUUGCAUUGCAGGUUCAUGGCCAGGCUGGAGAUGCACGGUGGUGUAGCACACGCGGGGAAGAGGCGCGCCUGGGCUACUGUUGCGGCGCAAUGGCUGGAGCUUGCUAGGGUUUUUGAUUUUUUUCGGUUUUGGGCCAGGGUUGUAUCGGGUCUCUGUUUAGUGGGGAUUUGGGUAUGUAAUUUUGGGCUUUUAAAUUGGGUCAAUGUAAUGGACAUUUGGACCUUUAUUUUAUUUAUUUUUUGUUGG
RNAcentral lists this long non-coding RNA (607 nucleotides) under Gossypium raimondii (Peruvian cotton). RNAcentral's name for it is "long non-coding RNA (GRAI_LNC010644)". The record is from RNAcentral. Lineage: Eukaryota; Viridiplantae; Streptophyta; Magnoliopsida; Malvales; Malvaceae.